CCGGCGACCGGCGCACGGGUGAGUAACGCGUAUGUAACCUACCUUUGACAGGGGGAUAACAUCGAGAAAUUGGUACUAAUACCCCAUAACAUCACCGGAGGCAUCUUCGGUGGUUGAAAACUCAGGUGGUCAGAGAUGGACAUGCGUUGUAUUAGCUAGUUGGUGAGGUAACGGCUCACCAAGGCGACGAUACAUAGGGGGACUGAGAGGUCAACCCCCCACAUUGGUACUGAGACACGGACCAAACUCCUACGGGAGGCAGCAG
This 265-nucleotide ribosomal RNA is filed under the name uncultured bacterium. Its description in RNAcentral is "partial 16S ribosomal RNA". It matches the Rfam family "Bacterial small subunit ribosomal RNA", at positions 88 to 354 of the family's 1533-position model. The record is from RNAcentral.